This 388-nucleotide ribosomal RNA is filed under the name Syndiniales sp. RNAcentral describes it as "partial small subunit ribosomal RNA". It matches the Rfam family "Eukaryotic small subunit ribosomal RNA", at positions 582 to 975 of the family's 1831-position model. Lineage: Eukaryota; Dinophyceae; Syndiniales. The record is from RNAcentral.
AUUCCAGCUCCAAUAGCGUAUAUUAAAGUUGUUGCGGUAAAAAAGCUCGUAGUUGGAUUUCUGUUGAGGGCGACCGGUCCAUACAACGUAUGCGUAUCUGGCUCGGCCUCGGCAUCCUCUCGAUAGACGUUUCUGCGCUUGAUUGCGUGGAGCGGAUCUCGGGACUUUUACUUUGAGGAAAUUAGAGUGUUCACGGCAGGCUAUCGCCAGGAUACAUUAGCAUGGAAUAAUACUAUAGGAUCUUGAUUCUAUUUUGUUGGUUUCUAGAAUUGAGAUAAUGAUUAAUAGGGACAAUUGGGGGCAUUCGUAUCAACACGUCAGAGGUGGAAUUCUUGGAUUGUGUUGCGACGAACUACUGCGAAAGCAUUUGCCAAGGAUGUUUUCAUUG